This 803-nucleotide ribosomal RNA is filed under the name Wolbachia endosymbiont of Campanulotes bidentatus compar. RNAcentral describes it as "bacterial SSU rRNA". It matches the Rfam family "Bacterial small subunit ribosomal RNA", at positions 107 to 950 of the family's 1533-position model. Lineage: Bacteria; Pseudomonadati; Pseudomonadota; Alphaproteobacteria; Rickettsiales; Anaplasmataceae. The record is from RNAcentral. RNAcentral also lists the same sequence under 1 other name.
UGAGUAUGUAUAGGAUCUACCUAGUAGUACGGAAUAAUUGUUGGAAACGGCAACUAAUACCGUAUACGCCCUACGGGGGAAAGAUUUAUUGCUAUUAGAUGAGCCUAUAUUAGAUUAGCUAGUUGGUAAGGUAAUGGCUUACCAAGGCAAUGAUCUAUAGCUGAUCUGAGAGGAUGAUCAGCCACACUGGAACUGAGAUACGGUCCAGACUCCUACGGGAGGCAGCAGUGGGGAAUAUUGGACAAUGGGCGAAAGCCUGAUCCAGCCAUGCCGCAUGAGUGAAGAAGGCCUUUGGGUUGUAAAGCUCUUUCGGUGAGGAAGAUAAUGACGGUACUCACAGAAGAAGUCCUGGCUAACUCCGUGCCAGCAGCCGCGGUAAUACGGAGAGGGCUAGCGUUAUUCGGAAUUAUUGGGCGUAAAGAGCGCGUAGGCUGGUUAGUAAGUUAAAAGUGAAAUCCCAAAGCUCAACUUUGGAAUUGCUUUUAAAACUGCUAACCUAGAGAUUGAAAGAGGAUAGAGGAAUUCCUAGUGUAGAGGUGAAAUUCGUAAAUAUUAGGAGGAACACCAGUGGCGAAGGCGUCUAUCUGGUUCAAAUCUGACGCUGAGGCGCGAAGGCGUGGGGAGCAAACAGGAUUAGAUACCCUGGUAGUCCACGCUGUAAACGAUGAAUGUUAAAUAUGGGAAGUUUACUUUCUGUAUUACAGCUAACGCGUUAAACAUUCCGCCUGGGGACUACGGUCGCAAGAUUAAAACUCAAAGGAAUUGACGGGGACCCGCACAAGCGGUGGAGCAUGUGGUUUAAU